This is a long non-coding RNA of Magnolia sinica, 1334 nucleotides long. RefSeq lists it as uncharacterized. Lineage: Eukaryota; Viridiplantae; Streptophyta; Magnoliopsida; Magnoliales; Magnoliaceae. The record is from RefSeq and is a predicted model, not a curated record. The transcript has 3 exons.
CCCACCUUUCUGUAAAAAAUAAAAUAUAAAAAUAAAAAUAAAAAUAAAAGAUUUAAGUUAUGGAGAGAGUGGAAGAACUUAGGGAAAUUGAAGUGUAAGGUAAGAAGUGAGGUUUGUAAUGAAAACAUGAUUGCAUUUACAGGUACAUGUGCCAAUAUAGUUGGGAGAUUUUCAGUAGGUGGGCCACAUUGUUUAGAACUUUUGGCCUAAAAAUCAGGUUGUUUAACUCCUAGGUAGGCCAUAAUAUGCCAAAAAAAGAAAGAAAAAGAAUUGGCAUAAAAAAGAAGUCAUCUGUGGAUAAAGUGUAAGGAGUACUUUGUUUCUUGUGCCACAAAUUAAAAUCCCGUGGAUAUAGUGUAAUGAGUAUUUUGUGAUUAGGUUCCUUCCACAGUUGUCUUUCUACUCUGGUAUUUAGUGUUUAUUAAUGAGAUCGUCAUCUUAAAAGAAAAAAGAAAAAAAAAAAGAGUGUGUGACUAGGUCCCUGGUCAACAAGACUCAGUUGAGUUAGCUAAUUGAUGUGGUCUGCUCAUUGCAACUUGUGGUCGCUCACAAGCGUGACCUUUUUUAACUCAUUGUUACUGAAGUUGAGAUUUUGAUAAUGCUUUAUGUUUCUGUUCUUGGUUUGUGUAGGGGUCAAUUCGAAGUAUGUAAGCAGAGCUGGAAAUUAUCUAAUAAGUGGUUCAAGCAGCAAGGUUUGGGCAACAAAAUCUGGCACUGUCAUGGUUAUCGUUGUGAAGUGGCUCAACCAGGAAGGUUACCAGGGUCAUAAGGAAUGGUUGGUAGUUUUGCACUGAAGAAGCAAAUGUUGGAUGACAGAAGAUUCUCCAAAAUGCAUCUGAAUUUGCAACGCCUCCUGCAGGAUGAUGGAAUAUAUGAAGCUGUUGCAAGAAGUGACUUUGUCAUUACUAGAGUUGCAUUUUGAAACAACUCUUCAAAGUACUACAUAAAUGACAGUGGAAGUAAUUUUACAGAGGUCACUAAGAAAUUGAAAGGAAAAGGAGUGGGCUUGGACAACAAUCGGUUUUUGAUUCUUUAGGUGGGUGAUUGGCUGAUGGCUGAAAAAGGCCUAUUUACUUGUGAAAAAAAUAACAUACCAUUAAAAUCUAUCUUCUCUUUCAAUUCUUUAUCAUUGAAAUUUCAGGGUAAAGUCGAGCAAAUUUCUCUAAUGAAGCCAAAGGCCAAGAUGAAGAAUGUACCUGGCCAUAUGCGAGUACACACAGACUCACCAAGAUUUGUAUUUUCAGCGUUAUUGUAAUUGUAAUUGUAAUUGAUUGAAUGAAGGAUUGUAAUUGAAUGAAUGAAUGAUUGUAAUUGAAUGAAUGAAUGAUUAUGCA